This 465-nucleotide ribosomal RNA is filed under the name uncultured bacterium. Its description in RNAcentral is "partial 16S ribosomal RNA". It matches the Rfam family "Bacterial small subunit ribosomal RNA", at positions 338 to 795 of the family's 1533-position model. The record is from RNAcentral.
CCUACGGGAGGCUGCAGUGGGGAAUUUUGGACAAUGGGCGCAAGCCUGAUCCAGCGAUUCCGCGUGUGGGAAGACGGCCUUCGGGUUGUAAACCUCUUUUGUAGAGAACGAAAAGUCUAUUGAUAAUACAGAUAGAUGAUGACGGUACUCUAAGAAUAAGCACCGGCUAACUACGUGCCAGCAGCCGCGGUAAUACGUAGGGUGCGAGCGUUAAUCGGAAUUACUGGGCGUAAAGGGUGUGCAGGCGGUAUUGCAAGAUGGAUGUGAAAGCCCCGGGCUUAACCUGGGAAAGCCCUAGAUGACUGGAAGACUAGAGUGUGUCAGAGGGGGGUGGAAUUCCAAGUGUAGCAGUGAAAUGCGUAGAUAUUUGGAAGAACACCGAUGGCGAAGGCAGCCAUCUGGGACGCAACUGACGCUCAUACACGAAAGCGUGGGGAGCAAACAGGAUUAGAUACCCCUGUAGUC